Molecule: non-coding RNA, 180 nt
Filed under: Gossypium arboreum
Lineage: Eukaryota; Viridiplantae; Streptophyta; Magnoliopsida; Malvales; Malvaceae
Description: Eukaryotic large subunit ribosomal RNA
Rfam family: Eukaryotic large subunit ribosomal RNA
Source: Rfam by way of RNAcentral
GUCGUAGGUGCAGCGACCGCGGCGGACAAGUCGCGGGCGCCUCCUUGGAGCGUAAUUCCCACCGAGCGGCGGGUGGAAUCCUUUGCAGACGACUUAAAUACGCGACGGGGUAUUGUAAGUGGCAGAGUGGCCUUGCUGCCACGAUCCACUGAGAUUCAGCCCUUUGUCGCUUCGAUUCGU